Raphanus sativus (radish) is the source of this 1173-nucleotide long non-coding RNA. RefSeq lists it as uncharacterized. NCBI's taxonomy places the organism in Eukaryota, Viridiplantae, Streptophyta, Magnoliopsida, Brassicales, Brassicaceae. The record is from RefSeq and is a predicted model, not a curated record. The transcript has 7 exons.
UUUUUGGGCCCUUAUUAUCCAUACUUAACCAGCCCGUAAAAGUAAUACCGUUUUUGAGAUGAGGGUUGAACCCCUCUUCUCUUCAUCUCCGCGAUUCGAGAUCAACACCCGAUCUGAGUUUUGAAAGCGUUGAUUCUUCUUCUUCCAAACAAUCAGAAGAGUAACCAGUUACAGAUUAACCAAGUUUCAUGUUUAGAUCUUCACUGAAUUCUGUUUAGGUUUAGCGUUGUUUGGUUCUUGAUUCAUCUUCUCUUUUAGGGGUUAAAAUUUGCAUUAACUAUUUCGAUCCACUGAACCACACACAUUCAAUGACUCUUCCAAGCAAUUAAUCUCCGCUUAUAAAAGGAAGAUUAAAUAUGACCCCCACUAUGAGUUCUUCAAUGCUUGGUCUGCGUCGGCGAAGCUCUGUUAGAUUGGGUGUUCUUCUCCGAUUUGAAGGUCGGGAAGUGUUCAUCAAUUGUGGAGGCACGGCUGCUUCGUUUCUGGGAAGCGAGGAAUGUGAAGCGCGAUGGGGAGCUCAAGUGGUUGGAUUUGUUCCUGGUAGAUGUAAACGUAAUGCUGCUCUUUCUGUUCUUCUGACUACCGGAUUAGAUAUAUGAUAUACUUCUUCCUACAGAUCUUACUGUUGAGAUAACUGCUUGAAGAGUACUGUCACUGACCCUGUUCAAGACAAUAAUCAUGUUAUGGCAACCAUUAAGAUGGACAAUGACAUGUCUGUGACUAUGAGUCUCUUUGACUCUCAGGUUGUUAAGCGCCACAAUCAACUAGAAAUGAAGCGAGGUGACCCAAGGGUUGUGGUUGCAACCAGCGUCAACCCCAAGAUUGUGGGAGCCCGUCUGUGUUAGAUUGCCACCACCGGCACACACUUAUAUUUUGACAAGGAAACACCUGCAGGAGAUUUUUUUUCUACAGGUUGGUCGCGCAAGACAGGACUUGCACCAGCAGCUCCACUGCUAAGGGGCAAUGCUAAGGUGGAAUCUCUGAGCAUAGCGGUGCUCAAUGAUUUUGUCAUCGCUGCUCCCUCUCAGGCAUGUUAACCAGAAUUUAAAUGUUUUAGUACUGAAUGUGAAAGUUUCUGUGUAAUUCUGAUUCUCCGACAAUGUAGGCAAUUGAUUUUAUCUGUACCGAUUCCUGCUCAAACUGUGCCAAGAAACUUUAGCUCCUUGACUCAUC